ACUUUUGCAUGGUGGCAGUGUAGUAGCUAAUGGUGUUUAUCAGAAGCACUAUUACUGCUAAUUGAAAAUUACCGU
RNAcentral lists this small nuclear RNA (75 nucleotides) under Cavia porcellus (domestic guinea pig). RNAcentral describes it as "U4 spliceosomal RNA". It matches the Rfam family "U4 spliceosomal RNA", at positions 1 to 75 of the family's 138-position model. From Rfam's summary of the family: U4 small nuclear RNA (U4 snRNA) is a component of the major U2-dependent spliceosome. The structure of U4 snRNA from yeast and human has been reported. The record is from Rfam by way of RNAcentral. Lineage: Eukaryota; Metazoa; Chordata; Mammalia; Rodentia; Caviidae.